Molecule: ribosomal RNA, 497 nt
Filed under: uncultured bacterium
Lineage: Bacteria
Description: partial 16S ribosomal RNA
Rfam family: Bacterial small subunit ribosomal RNA
Source: RNAcentral
GAUGAACGCUGGCGGCGUGCCUAAUACAUGCAAGUCGAGCGAACGGACGAGAAGCUUGCUUCUCUGAUGUUAGCGGCGGACGGGUGAGUAACACGUGGAUAACCUACCUAUAAGACUGGGAUAACUUCGGGAAACCGGAGCUAAUACCGGAUGAUAAUUUGAACCGCAUGGUUCAAAAGUGAAAGACGGUCUUGCUGUCACUUAUAGAUGGAUCCGCGCUGCAUUAGCUAGUUGGUAAGGUAAUGGCUUACCAAGGCAACGAUGCAUAGCCGACCUGAGAGGGUGAUCGGCCACACUGGAACUGAGACACGGUCCAGACUCCUACGGGAGGCAGCAGUAGGGAAUCUUCCGCAAUGGGCGAAAGCCUGACGGAGCAACGCCGCGUGAGUGAUGAAGGUCUUCGGAUCGUAAAACUCUGUUAUUAGGGAAGAACAUAUGUGUAAGUAACUGUGCACAUCUUGACGGUACCUAAUCAGAAAGCCACGGCUAACUACGUG